GACGAAGGGGGCUAGCGUUGUUCGGAAUUACUGGGCGUAAAGCGUGCGCAGGCGGGCUUUUAAGCCAGACGUGAAAUCCCCGGGCUUAACCUGGGAAUGGCGUUUGGGACUGGAAGUCUGGAGUGCGGCAGAGGAGACUGGAAUUCCUGGUGUAGCAGUGAAAUGCGUAGAUAUCAGGAGGAACACCGAUGGCGAAGGCAGGUCUCUGGGCUGACACUGACGCUCAUGCACGAAAGCGUGGGGAGCAAACAGG
This 253-nucleotide ribosomal RNA is filed under the name uncultured bacterium. Its description in RNAcentral is "partial 16S ribosomal RNA". It matches the Rfam family "Bacterial small subunit ribosomal RNA", at positions 524 to 776 of the family's 1533-position model. The record is from RNAcentral.